RNAcentral lists this non-coding RNA (88 nucleotides) under unclassified sequences. Its description in RNAcentral is "DUF3800-VII RNA". It matches the Rfam family "DUF3800-VII RNA". The record is from Rfam by way of RNAcentral.
CGCAAGCAUGCGAGGAAUCAACCGAGGUCGUGCGUGAGCACGUCAGCCCCAUGCGGGUCGGAAGUCUCGGUCCUGGGCUUGCAAUUUU